RNAcentral lists this ribosomal RNA (2038 nucleotides) under Salmonella enterica subsp. enterica serovar Stanley. RNAcentral's name for it is "partial 23S ribosomal RNA". It matches the Rfam family "Bacterial large subunit ribosomal RNA", at positions 711 to 2730 of the family's 2925-position model. Lineage: Bacteria; Pseudomonadati; Pseudomonadota; Gammaproteobacteria; Enterobacterales; Enterobacteriaceae. The record is from RNAcentral.
AGACCCGAAACCCGGUGAUCUAGCCAUGGGCAGGUUGAAGGUUGGGUAACACUAACUGGAGGACCGAACCGACUAAUGUUGAAAAAUUAGCGGAUGACCUGUGGCUGGGGGUGAAAGGCCAAUCAAACCGGGAGAUAGCUGGUUCUCCCCGAAAGCUAUUUAGGUAGCGCCUCGUGAAUUCAUCUCCGGGGGUAGAGCACUGUUUCGGCUAGGGGGCCAUCCCGGCUUACCAACCCGAUGCAAACUGCGAAUACCGGAGAAUGUUAUCACGGGAGACACACGGCGGGUGCUAACGUCCGUCGUGAAGAGGGAAACAACCCAGACCGCCAGCUAAGGUCCCAAAGUCAUGGUUAAGUGGGAAACGAUGUGGGAAGGCCCAGACAGCCAGGAUGUUGGCUUAGAAGCAGCCAUCAUUUAAAGAAAGCGUAAUAGCUCACUGGUCGAGUCGGCCUGCGCGGAAGAUGUAACGGGGCUAAACCAUGCACCGAAGCUGCGGCAGCGACACUGUGUGUUGUUGGGUAGGGGAGCGUUCUGUAAGCCUGUGAAGGUGUGUCGUGAGGCAUGCUGGAGGUAUCAGAAGUGCGAAUGCUGACAUAAGUAACGAUAAAGCGGGUGAAAAGCCCGCUCGCCGGAAGACCAAGGGUUCCUGUCCAACGUUAAUCGGGGCAGGGUGAGUCGACCCCUAAGGCGAGGCCGAAAGGCGUAGUCGAUGGGAAACGGGUUAAUAUUCCCGUACUUGGUGUUACUGCGAAGGGGGGACGGAGAAGGCUAUGUUGGCCGGGCGACGGUUGUCCCGGUUUAAGCGUGUAGGUGUGUGUUCCAGGUAAAUCCGGUUCACUUUAACACUGAGGCGUGACGACGAGGCACUACGGUGCUGAAGCAACAAAUGCCCUGCUUCCAGGAAAAGCCUCUAAGCAUCAGGUAACAUCAAAUCGUACCCCAAACCGACACAGGUGGUCAGGUAGAGAAUACCAAGGCGCUUGAGAGAACUCGGGUGAAGGAACUAGGCAAAAUGGUGCCGUAACUUCGGGAGAAGGCACGCUGACACGUAGGUGAAGUGAUUUACUCAUGGAGCUGAAGUCAGUCGAAGAUACCAGCUGGCUGCAACUGUUUAUUAAAAACACAGCACUGUGCAAACACGAAAGUGGACGUAUACGGUGUGACGCCUGCCCGGUGCCGGAAGGUUAAUUGAUGGGGUCAGCGCAAGCGAAGCUCCUGAUCGAAGCCCCGGUAAACGGCGGCCGUAACUAUAACGGUCCUAAGGUAGCGAAAUUCCUUGUCGGGUAAGUUCCGACCUGCACGAAUGGCGUAAUGAUGGCCAGGCUGUCUCCACCCGAGACUCAGUGAAAUUGAACUCGCUGUGAAGAUGCAGUGUACCCGCGGCAAGACGGAAAGACCCCGUGAACCUUUACUAUAGCUUGACACUGAACAUUGAGCCUUGAUGUGUAGGAUAGGUGGGAGGCUUUGAAGUGUGGACGCCAGUCUGCAUGGAGCCGACCUUGAAAUACCACCCUUUAAUGUUUGAUGUUCUAACGUGGACCCGUGAUCCGGGUUGCGGACAGUGUCUGGUGGGUAGUUUGACUGGGGCGGUCUCCUCCUAAAGAGUAACGGAGGAGCACGAAGGUUGGCUAAUCCUGGUCGGACAUCAGGAGGUUAGUGCAAUGGCAUAAGCCAGCUUGACUGCGAGCGUGACGGCGCGAGCAGGUGCGAAAGCAGGUCAUAGUGAUCCGGUGGUUCUGAAUGGAAGGGCCAUCGCUCAACGGAUAAAAGGUACUCCGGGGAUAACAGGCUGAUACCGCCCAAGAGUUCAUAUCGACGGCGGUGUUUGGCACCUCGAUGUCGGCUCAUCACAUCCUGGGGCUGAAGUAGGUCCCAAGGGUAUGGCUGUUCGCCAUUUAAAGUGGUACGCGAGCUGGGUUUAGAACGUCGUGAGACAGUUCGGUCCCUAUCUGCCGUGGGCGCUGGAGAACUGAGGGGGGCUGCUCCUAGUACGAGAGGACCGGAGUGGACGCAUCACUGGUGUUCGGGUUGUCAUGCC